GACGAACGCUGGCGGCGUGCUUAACACAUGCAAGUCGAACGGAAAGGCCCUGCUUUUGUGGGGUGCUCGAGUGGCGAACGGGUGAGUAACACGUGAGUAACCUGCCCUUGACUUUGGGAUAACUUCAGGAAACUGGGGCUAAUACCGGAUAGGAGCUCCUGCUGCAUGGUGGGGGUUGGAAAGUUUCGGCGGUUGGGGAUGGACUCGCGGCUUAUCAGCUUGUUGGUGGGGUAGUGGCUUACCAAGGCUUUGACGGGUAGCCGGCCUGAGAGGGUGACCGGCCACAUUGGGACUGAGAUACGGCCCAGACUACUACGGGAGGCAGCAGUGGGGAAUAUUGCACAAUGGGCGGAAGCCUGAUGUAGCAACGCCGCGUGCGGGAUGACGGCCUGCGGGUUGUAAACCGCUUUCGCCUGUGACGAAGCGUGAGUGACGGUAAUGGGUAAAGAAGCACCGGCUAACUACGUG
RNAcentral lists this ribosomal RNA (468 nucleotides) under uncultured bacterium. RNAcentral's name for it is "partial 16S ribosomal RNA". It matches the Rfam family "Bacterial small subunit ribosomal RNA", at positions 28 to 507 of the family's 1533-position model. The record is from RNAcentral.